ACGAACGCUGGCGGCAUGCCUAACACAUGCAAGUCGAACGAAGGCUUCGGCCUUAGUGGCGCACGGGUGCGUAACGCGUGGGAAUCUGCCCUUGGGUUCGGAAUAACUCGGAGAAAUUUGAGCUAAUACCGGAUGAUGUCGCAAGACCAAAGAUUUAUCGCCCGAGGAUGAGCCCGCGUAGGAUUAGCUAGUUGGUGAGGUAAAGGCUCACCAAGGCGACGAUCCUUAGCUGGUCUGAGAGGAUGAUCAGCCACACUGGGACUGAGACACGGCCCAGACUCCUACGGGAGGCAGCAGUGGGGAAUAUUGGACAAUGGGCGAAAGCCUGAUCCAGCAAUGCCGCGUGAGUGAUGAAGGCCCUAGGGUUGUAAAGCUCUUUUACCCGGGAUGAUAAUGCCAGUACCGGGAGAAUAAGCCCCGGCUAACUCCGU
This 431-nucleotide ribosomal RNA is filed under the name uncultured bacterium. RNAcentral describes it as "bacterial SSU rRNA". It matches the Rfam family "Bacterial small subunit ribosomal RNA", at positions 29 to 506 of the family's 1533-position model. The record is from RNAcentral.